Cydia pomonella (codling moth) is the source of this 679-nucleotide long non-coding RNA. RefSeq lists it as uncharacterized. NCBI's taxonomy places the organism in Eukaryota, Metazoa, Arthropoda, Insecta, Lepidoptera, Tortricidae. The record is from RefSeq and is a predicted model, not a curated record. The transcript is spliced from 2 exons.
UUUAACUAUAAAAACCAGAUGUAUUUUUAAAACAGGAGUCUAAUGUAAAAUACCCAAAAAUAUAGGUCAUCGUUACAUCGGACGUCGUAAAGAUCCCAAAAGAAGACUCUAAAAAUAUAACAGCAGACAUAUUUAGAAUGACAAUGGAAAGCGGUAAUGACAUGCGGUGCGGACAUUCAAUUUCGUAUGUUGUAGUCUAGGGGGUUUUUAUUACAAUGGCAUAAGGACUGAAAUACUGUGGCUUAGUGGAAAGUAAGGAGCGGAUACAACAUCUGACUCACGGGAACAGUACGCCGAAUAUUGUCCGGACCUCACGAUCUCAACGUAACGUGUGAAGAAUACUAAAUUCUUGGUUCCGCUUGCAAUUGCAUCUUGUAAACUAGUCAUUAUUAAACGAAUUACAACUCUUAAUUAGAAUCUUCGUUUACUUUGAAUACAAAUAAAUAGGUAAGUAACUCAAUUUUAGUCAGAAGAUUUUCCUCGAGGAUCGAGUCGGACAAAGAGGACAAGUCUAUUGAUUAUUUAAUUUAGGUACCUGCUGCAGUUUCUUGAAUACCGAGAACCAGUUACUUACAUAUUUCAUGGCCUUUAAAGCAUUAUAGGUUUGGUCUGUAUUUUUCUAAAUAGAGAUUUAUCAUGUGAAUAGUUUAAAUAUAGGUAUGUCCUGUAUGUUGUCAAA